UUUCCGUAGGUGAACCUGCGGAAGGAUCAUUAAUGAAUUUUACGCCCUAGGCUUAACAGCUAGGGGCUGGUUCUAUCCAUAACACCUGUGCACUGUUGGAUGCUUGCAUCCACUUUUAAACUAAACAUUAUUGUAACAAAUGUAGUCUUAUUAUAACAUAAUAAAACUUUCAACAACGGAUCUCUUGGCUCUC
Molecule: unclassified non-coding RNA, 193 nt
Filed under: soil metagenome
Description: partial contains small subunit ribosomal RNA, internal transcribed spacer 1, and 5.8S ribosomal RNA
Source: RNAcentral